RNAcentral lists this ribosomal RNA (1346 nucleotides) under uncultured bacterium. RNAcentral describes it as "partial 16S ribosomal RNA". It matches the Rfam family "Bacterial small subunit ribosomal RNA", at positions 28 to 1381 of the family's 1533-position model. The record is from RNAcentral.
GACGAACGCUGGCGGCGUGCUUAACACAUGCAAGUCGAACGGAAAGGCCCUGCUUUUGUGGGGUGCUCGAGUGGCGAACGGGUGAGUAACACGUGAGUAACCUGCCCUUGACUUUGGGAUAACUUCAGGAAACUGGGGCUAAUACCGGAUAGGAGCUCCUGCUGCAUGGUGGGGGUUGGAAAGUUUCGGCGGUUGGGGAUGGACUCGCGGCUUAUCAGCUUGUUGGUGGGGUAGUGGCUUACCAAGGCUUUGACGGGUAGCCGGCCUGAGAGGGUGACCGGCCACAUUGGGACUGAGAUACGGCCCAGACUCCUACGGGAGGCAGCAGUGGGGAAUAUUGCACAAUGGGCGGAAGCCUGAUGCAGCAACGCCGCGUGCGGGAUGACGGCCUUCGGGUUGUAAACCGCUUUCGCCUGUGACGAAGCGUGAGUGACGGUAAUGGGUAAAGAAGCACCGGCUAACUACGUGCCAGCAGCCGCGGUGAUACGUAGGGUGCGAGCGUUGUCCGGAUUUAUUGGGCGUAAAGGGCUCGUAGGUGGUUGAUCGCGUCGGAAGUGUAAUCUUGGGGCUUAACCCUGAGCGUGCUUUCGAUACGGGUUGACUUGAGGAAGGUAGGGGAGAAUGGAAUUCCUGGUGGAGCGGUGGAAUGCGCAGAUAUCAGGAGGAACACCAGUGGCGAAGGCGGUUCUCUGGGCCUUUCCUGACGCUGAGGAGCGAAAGCGUGGGGAGCGAACAGGCUUAGAUACCCUGGUAGUCCACGCUGUAAACGGUGGGUACUAGGUGUGGGGUCCAUUCCACGGGUUCCGUGCCGUAGCUAACGCUUUAAGUACCCCGCCUGGGGAGUACGGCCGCAAGGCUAAAACUCAAAGGAAUUGACGGGGCCCCGCACAAGCGGCGGAGCAUGCGGAUUAAUUCGAUGCAACGCGUAGAACCUUACCUGGGUUUGACAUGGAUCGGGAGUGCUCAGAGAUGGGUGUGCCUCUUUUGGGGUCGGUUCACAGGUGGUGCAUGGCUGUCGUCAGCUCGUGUCGUGAGAUGUUGGGUUAAGUCCCGCAACGAGCGCAACCCUUGUUCACUGUUGCCAGCACGUUAUGGUGGGGACUCAGUGGGGACCGCCGGGGUCAACUCGGAGGAAGGUGGGGAUGACGUCAAGUCAUCAUGCCCCUUAUGUCCAGGGCUUCACGCAUGCUACAAUGGCUGGUACAGAGAGUGGCGAGCCUGUGAGGGUGAGCGAAUCUCGGAAAGCCGGUCUCAGUUCGGAUUGGGGUCUGCAACUCGAUCUCAUGAAGUCGGAGUCGCUAGUAAUCGCAGAUCAGCAACGCUGCGGUGAAUACGUUCCCGGGGCU